RNAcentral lists this long non-coding RNA (1242 nucleotides) under Cyanistes caeruleus (blue tit). Its description in RNAcentral is "lncRNA (ENSCCEG00000018620.1)". Lineage: Eukaryota; Metazoa; Chordata; Aves; Passeriformes; Paridae. The record is from RNAcentral.
GAAAGCGUGGUUUGCAGAAAAGUCUGAGGUUAGAAGGAUCUGCCCCCUGGGUGCUGUGGCAAUGCACAAUGUCUUGGUGUCUGGGUCAGUGACAGUAAUGGAAGGAGAGUUCCAAUACCCACAGAGACAGUGGAAAAACCACUGAAAGAAGAAAUCUGCCUGCUGUUGUGUCUGUUGGGAGGAUCUUUGGUGCUAAGUGUAUAGGUAAACAUUUGGUGCAUUGCUUUCUCUUUCUUGUCACAACUCUUCAAUUUGAAAUCUGCAUAUUUGAAAUCCUUAUUUUGAAAUUCUCGGCUUUAUUAUUUUCAAAAAAUUGUGUCAGAGAAAUAAAAUGCGCAAAAGAAAAGUUAGGACUUUCAUUAGCUGUUGUUUGUUUCCUUUUACUCACAAUAUAUCAGAUAUUUGAGGCCUUACCUCUCUUCUUGACUGCUCCAUUGCUUCACUUAAGAGUGGACCACAGUCUCAGGAAAAGGGGCAAAAGGAAACACUCCAAAACAGAGCCAACAAAAUAAGAAUGCAGUUCUGAAUUGCAGCUUUAGUGAAGUGUUUACUCUCAAACCAGAAAAUUUUCACGUGAAUAUUCACAUUGUUCAAGCUUCACAUUAUCUUCUUUGAUGGUCCACUCCUUGAGACUGACUGCUGUUGUAUGGCCUGGUUCCUUCACCUCUUUAAAUCCUUUUGUGAGUGCAGAAGCAAAGAUUAAGAACUCUCCUCUCUGCAGGGGAGGAAGAGAAGUCCAGACUUUUAAAACCAUCUGAGAAGUAAAACUGUAUAAAUAACCACUGACUUGUAAGGGGAAAAAAAAAUCCAUCUCUACAUGAAAAGUCUGAGAUAAGAGGUUGUGCUUGUGGCCUAAUGACAACGGGAAUAUUGCCAUUACUCCAAUGAAUUACUGAUUUACCACGUGGAAAACCGAGAGCAGGGGACAGAAACAGAAGGUGGGAUUCACAGGUGGAGGCACAAUGAUUCCCAGGAGUUACUUCUGGAGCCGAAAUCACUACACCCACUUCAUCUAGGUGAGCCAGCAUGGUAGCAUGACCACUUGAGCAGAAAGAGCUGAGCUGUGCAGGCAAAACACCUUUGAUGGUCUGAAAUUGUGUCUCUGCUCUCUUUGAAAUGCAUUGUGGACCUUCCUGUUCACUCCCUUCUCUGCUGGGGAGCACAGUGCUACCCCAGCACGGUCCAAUGCUAUCCCAUUGUUGGUUAUUUUUUUGUUUAUUUUUUUCCAGCAGAAGUACUUUG